UACGUAGGGUGCGAGCGUUGUCCGGAAUUAUUGGGCGUAAAGAGCUCGUAGGCGGUGUGUCGCGUCGGCCGUGAAAACCUGCAGCUUAACUGUGGGCGUGCGGUCGAUACGGGCAUCACUGGAGUUCAGCAGGGGAGACUGGAAUUCCUGGUGUAGCGGUGAAAUGCGCAGAUAUCAGGAGGAACACCGGUGGCGAAGGCGGGUCUCUGGGCCGAUACUGACGCUGAGGAGCGAAAGCGUGGGGAGCGAACAGG
RNAcentral lists this ribosomal RNA (254 nucleotides) under uncultured bacterium. Its description in RNAcentral is "partial 16S ribosomal RNA". It matches the Rfam family "Bacterial small subunit ribosomal RNA", at positions 524 to 776 of the family's 1533-position model. The record is from RNAcentral.